CGGCAGUGGAGGCCGCUCCCUGUUGCCGGGUUCCCGGCCCGAGCUGCGAGAGUUAGACGUGCUCCGAGGUAGGCGCGGGAAAGCGGCUCCUUGGUAGCGGGAGCAUUAGCCCUAGGAAUGAAAAUUGGGCGCCGAACCGAUGCCCGAGACCGUAGGACCCCUGCCUUCCAGCGUCCGCUGCAGCCUGAGAAGGCAGGCGGUCAUCAGCAGAUAUAAUUAGCUAAGAUGAGGUCAUACUGGAUUAAGAUGGGUCCUGAAUCCAACGACUGGUGUCCUUAUAAGAAGGUCGUGUGAAGACACAUAAGAGAGACACACGGAGGAGGACGCCAUGUGAAGAUGGAAGCAGAGAUUGGAGUGAUGCGUCUAAAGCCAAGGAAUGCUGAGAAUUACUGGCGACCUCCAGAAGCUGAGAGAGGAGCAUGGAACAGAUUUUCCCUCAGAGACUCUAGUAGGAACCAACCCUGCUGACACCUUCAUUCAGACUUCUGGCCUCCUGAACUUCGUAGAACUCCUGAUUCUAGCUGGGCACGUGGCCACCAAAUAAAGAUUACAGCUUCCUUUGCAGCUAGUAAACCGGUACAUGACUAAGUUCCAGGAAUGGAAUGGACUUGGAAGUGCC
This 619-nucleotide long non-coding RNA is filed under the name Equus caballus (horse). Its description in RNAcentral is "lncRNA (ENSECAG00000049135.1)". Lineage: Eukaryota; Metazoa; Chordata; Mammalia; Perissodactyla; Equidae. The record is from RNAcentral.